This 410-nucleotide ribosomal RNA is filed under the name Terrimonas ferruginea. Its description in RNAcentral is "partial 23S ribosomal RNA". It matches the Rfam family "Bacterial large subunit ribosomal RNA", at positions 1 to 456 of the family's 2925-position model. Lineage: Bacteria; Pseudomonadati; Bacteroidota; Chitinophagia; Chitinophagales; Chitinophagaceae. The record is from RNAcentral.
GGUCAAGUGAAUAAGAGCACGUGGUGGAUGCCUUGGCAAUGAUAGGCGACGAAGGACGUGAUAGCCUGCGAUAAGCUUCGGGGAGCUGGCAAAUUAGCUUUGAUCCGGAGAUUUCCGAAUGGGGAAACCCACCGAAAGGUAUCUUGCGAUGAAUACAUAGUUGCAAGAGGCGAACCGGGUGAACUGAAACAUCUCAGUAGCUCGAGGAAAAGACAUCAACCGAGAUUCCGAAAGUAGUGGCGAGCGAAAUCGGAGAAGCCUGUUAGUGAUAGCACAAGACAUAACGGAACAGCUUGGAAAGGCUGGCCAUAGCGGGUGAUAGCCCCGUACGUGAAAUGACCUGUGUGGUACUGAGCUAACGACAAGUAGGGCGGGACACGAGAAAUCCUGUCUGAAUAUUCAGACAGGAU